RNAcentral lists this ribosomal RNA (458 nucleotides) under uncultured bacterium. Its description in RNAcentral is "SSU rRNA". It matches the Rfam family "Bacterial small subunit ribosomal RNA", at positions 26 to 518 of the family's 1533-position model. The record is from RNAcentral.
AGAAUCAACGCUGGCGGCGUGCCUAACACAUGCAAGUCGAACGAGAAAGUGGGAGCAAUCCCACGAGUAAAGUGGCGCACGGGUGAGUAACACGUGACUAACCUACCCUUGAGUGGGGGAUAACCUAGGGAAACCUGGGCUAAUACCGCAUAAUACCUACGGGUCAAAGGAGCAAUUCGCUUAAGGAGGGGGUCGCGGCAGAUUAGUUAGUUGGCGGGGUAAUGGCCCACCAAGACAGUGAUCUGUAUCCGGCCUGAGAGGGCGCACGGACACACUGGAACUGAAACACGGUCCAGACUCCUACGGGAGGCAGCAGUGGGAAUUUGCGCAAUGGGGGAAACCCUGACGCAGCAACGCCGCGUGGAGGAUGAAGCCCCUUGGGGCGUAAACUCCUUUCGAUCGGGAAGAUAAUGACGGUACCGGAAGAAGAAGCCCGGCUAACUCGUGCCAGCAGCCGC